AGUAGGAGCGGCGGCGGCGGCCCAAAGCGGAGUGAAGGAGGGAGGCAGGGAGCCGGGGAGCCGGAACCGGAGUCGCAGCGGCGGUAAUAGAGACCCCUGUGCGGUGCGGAGGGGGCGGCGGCCCCGACUCUGACCCGCGCCGGGGGUGGGCCAUGGCGGAGAUCAGCGACCUGGACCGGCAGAUCGAGCAGCUGCGUCGCUGCGAGCUCAUCAAGGAGAGCGAAGUCAAGGCCCUGUGCGCUAAGGCCAGAGAGAUCUUGGUAGAGGAGAGCAACGUGCAGAGGGUGGACUCGCCAGUCACAGUGUGCGGCGACAUCCAUGGACAAUUCUAUGACCUCAAAGAGCUGUUCAGAGUAGGUGGCGACGUCCCUGAGACCAACUACCUCUUCAUGGGGGACUUUGUGGACCGUGGCUUCUAUAGCGUCGAAACGUUCCUCCUGCUGCUGGCACUUAAGGUUCGCUAUCCUGACCGCAUCACGCUGAUCCGGGGCAACCAUGAGAGUCGCCAGAUCACGCAGGUCUACGGCUUCUACGAUGAGUGCCUGCGCAAGUACGGCUCGGUGACUGUGUGGCGCUACUGCACCGAGAUCUUCGACUACCUCAGCCUGUCAGCCAUCAUCGAUGGCAAGGUAGGCCAGCCCAGGGCUCCAUGGGACGGGGAGAGGAGGGGGGCUCCAGGCCUCAGCCCCGUCCUCUUUCCCUGCUCUCCCCUGUAGAUCUUCUGUGUGCACGGGGGCCUCUCCCCCUCCAUCCAGACCCUGGAUCAGAUUCGGACAAUCGACCGAAAGCAAGAGGUGCCUCAUGAUGGGCCCAUGUGUGACCUCCUCUGGUCUGACCCAGAAGGUGAGGGCAUGUGGGCAGGGGCAG
RNAcentral lists this small RNA (867 nucleotides) under Pongo abelii (Sumatran orangutan). Its description in RNAcentral is "retained intron". Lineage: Eukaryota; Metazoa; Chordata; Mammalia; Primates; Hominidae. The record is from RNAcentral.